GGUUUGAACCGAUGAAUUUCAGAGAAUAAGAGUUACUUAUUUAUAGUCGAAGAUUGACACAAUAGAAUUAAUGGGGAGUGCAUUAUUACAAAUCGUGGGAAGAGUAGAGAGCUAGUCUUGAUGAGUACAUUAAAGUUGUGGUCGGAAAACAAUAACAUAACACCAAGUGGGAUUCCAGGGCGGUCAUAUGAACACGAUAAGCUUGUUGCCGGCGGCUACAUAACGUUAGAUCGGAGUCUCCAAGACGAUACUACUAAAUUCAGGCCCAGAAACGGAAAGCCCAGAAACGGGUUAGAGUUGCACAUAAACAAAACGCACUGUAUAACUAAAUAGAUACACCUUCUCAAUUUUGAAAAUGUGGAUAUAAUUAACUAUAUAAAUUGAAUAUUCUAUGGAAUAAAUUGCCUACAAUAUUUUUAUUUUCUUACAAAUGUUAUAACUAAUGUAUCGAUUUUUAAUAUCAUACUAACUCAUAUUUAUCUAUUUUCUUACUUUUAAUUCAGGGAAAUUAUUUUUUACAUA
Raphanus sativus (radish) is the source of this 522-nucleotide long non-coding RNA. RefSeq lists it as uncharacterized. The record is from RefSeq and is a predicted model, not a curated record. NCBI's taxonomy places the organism in Eukaryota, Viridiplantae, Streptophyta, Magnoliopsida, Brassicales, Brassicaceae. The transcript is spliced from 2 exons.